This 29-nucleotide non-coding RNA is filed under the name Bombyx mori (domestic silkworm). Lineage: Eukaryota; Metazoa; Arthropoda; Insecta; Lepidoptera; Bombycidae. The record is from RNAcentral.
UAUCAAACUUGGCAACUUGCUCAGCAAGC